GGUUUUAUGGUGUAAUGGUAGCACUUUGGACUUUGAAUCCAACAAUCAGGGUUCGAACCCCUGUAGAACCA
This is a transfer RNA of 71 nucleotides. It matches the Rfam family "tRNA". From Rfam's summary of the family: Transfer RNA (tRNA) molecules are approximately 80 nucleotides in length. Their secondary structure includes four short double-helical elements and three loops (D, anti-codon, and T loops). The record is from Rfam.